AUUGAGAGAUCAUGGAGAGUCAUUUUUGUGUGUUUUCUCCUGCAGAAUAGGAGUUGCCGACUCAAAUCUUGCAGAACUCUUGGCUAUUGGUAAAGCUAUGGAGUUGAGCAUUAAUUCUAUUGACCUUUUCAGUGAGAUUGUGGAGGUGAUUGCAGAGUCGGAUUCCAAAUCUGCAAUUUCAUGGGUUAGUAAUCCAGAUGCGGCCANNNUUGGAGAUUUUUUCAAUUACUAAUGGCAUCUUGUCAUGUUUACAGCAAUUUCAGCAAGUGUCAUUUGUCCAUACACCCCAUGAAGCUAAUACUCUUUGCAAGGCAGGGAGUUGCUCGCUGCUCUGAUCUUGUUGCCUUUUUUUUAGUAGUUUUGUGGUUUUUGUUUAUUUGCGGGGGCAGUCUGCUAUUUUCUAUUGGUUUUUGGUGUGGAUUUGGUUUUUUUAGCAUGGUAAUUAAGCCAUCUAUGAUGCUGUUGGGUAAGUUAUGAUGCAUUUGGGUUAUG
This 492-nucleotide unclassified non-coding RNA is filed under the name Hevea brasiliensis (rubber tree). The record is from RNAcentral. Lineage: Eukaryota; Viridiplantae; Streptophyta; Magnoliopsida; Malpighiales; Euphorbiaceae.